Long non-coding RNA from Serinus canaria (Common canary), 2382 nucleotides. RefSeq lists it as uncharacterized. Lineage: Eukaryota; Metazoa; Chordata; Aves; Passeriformes; Fringillidae. The transcript has 4 exons. The record is from RefSeq and is a predicted model, not a curated record.
AUGAUGAAUCUUUAAUAACUAAUAAGAGCUUUGUCCUGAAUAGAUAUUUUGAUGUAUUGCCUUAAGAAAAGGGAGGUUAGAAGUGAAAGAAAUGGUUAUUCACUGCUAGCAUCUGCUCUCCUUUUACACAUCCCUUCCUGUUUGUGGAACAGCUCCUCUCUCCUGCUGCUCCAUCACAGUCCAUCAGAAGACAUUCUCUUUUGGAAGAGCUAGACAGUGUUUACCUGCCACAGCAGAUGGAAGCAUCACCACCUGAGGACAAGCACUACAACUGUGUCCCUUUCUUUUUCUGGUCACGGAUAACAAAGGUGAUGAUGAGAUGGAGACCUGCACAAGCCCUUCUGCAAACUUUUUGUUUUGUGGUUUCUGUGGAAGGAAAGUCAGGUGUCUGCUUCACGUGUACCCUCCAACAGGUGGCUGACCUGAAGUUUUAAAAGAGCAGGAGUCUGAGUUCUAGCCAGCUCCCAGAGAGCCUCAGUUCCAGACAAAAGGGAAGGGACUGUCAAAUGGUUUGGAAAGAAAACAGCCUCAGAAUGAAAGGAAUAAGGGUGGCUUUUCUGUUGUGAGAAACUCUGAAGCUCUUCACUCCAGGAAGGGGUGGCAUCUGUUACUGCCUGUUCACUGCAGAGAGAUUUACAGCACCCCACCAUUUCAAGAGUUUCAUGGAAAGAGGAAAAUAUGCUUCCUUCAGGCUUGGCUGGAUUCAAAAUUAGCUGCUCUUAUUCCUUCAUCAUUUCAUCUCUCUCUUGUUAGCAGUUUCACAUCCUGAAAGUGGCCUGGUGUUACACAUUCGGGGCUACAAUUUUUGUCAACUUGGUGAUUAUACUGCUUUUGAGGUUAAAAGUUCUCAACGUCUGAGUUUUAACUGUCCUCUGCUUGACCUACCUAAAGGCAUAUUUCUUUGGUUUCAGAAAAUAACAAGAAUUUCUGUUCUGAUUUAAAUCUCACUUAUUAUGAAGCUUCUCUGUUUUCAAAAUAGCCUCUCUAAAGAAAACUUUUUUUUUUAGUGUCUUUAAAUUUGAAGAGCCAUCCCAAAAGGCACAGUAACGUAUUAAUAGCUCUUGGAGAGACAACUUCUGUCUUUCUGAAUUUGGCACAGACAUGGUGUAAGUAUUGUCAGAUAACAACUUCCCCAAUUAACAUAAAUAGCAUAUGCUCAAAUGGCUUUUGUUCCUAGUAAAGAACCCACUGAAGUUGUUUGAUUUUUUCGAUACAUGAAACAUUUUAUUAGUCAUCCAAUAUGGUUAUCUGGAAGUUGUUAUUUCCUGAUUAAUAAUAUAAAGAGUAUUGGCAAGCACGGUCCUGAAAAACGAUUUGUCAUCUUAAGCAUUUCAAGAGAAAGACAUGAUUAAUGUGCUGAAUUGAAACAGGAGUUAGAUGAAUGCAAGCACCAGGUUAUGUAUGGAAAAUAUUUUCCCACCAUUCCUGAUUUCUUCCAUGUCUCUAGAGAGUUAUUAGUAUAUAUAGAUGUUUAGUAUCCAUUUUUUUGGUAGGACUAACAUAAGAGUAUGUGAAGAUUUUACCUUGAAAAGAAGGAUGUGGACAGGAUGAUAUUUACUUUUAUUACUGUUUUAUUUUCCUGUUUUUAUAAUAAAUCCAUUUGUUCAUCAGACAGAAUGCCCUGACACUACUUUUGAUACAGUACUCUAUCUUUGUAAGAAAAACAUUGCUUUCAAACCAUUUUUUUCCUGAGGUAGAAAUCAUGUCUAAAAAGCAACUGUUUGGUACUAAAGGAAGGAAUGCUGUUGGCUAAAGAAGCUGUUUAAAAUGUUAGUGAAAUAUAUACAAGACUUCUAUAAUAGUCUUCUACUUUUUAUCUAGAUAUUUCUGCUAUAUAUACUGUAUAUUAAAAAGCCUACUCUUAGAAGCUAAUGAAUAUAUUUAUAAGAAAAUAAUAUAGAUCAUUGUAAGAAGUGAAGACAAGAUAAGAAUUACUGACCUUUACUCAUUUUAUAUGUGUGUACAACCUUUGUAUUAACCCACAGAAAGGCUAUCUGCUCAGCUUUGGUCUUAGUCAAGUACUUGACAGAAAAAAAAACCAUGAUGGAAUUUCUUUAAUUAGUUUGAAUUCAUUCCUCAGUAAAAAAACAAAAAACAAACAGAGUAAACCAAGAUACCAUCAUGAUACAAAAAUAUUAUUUUGAUAUAAGUAGGUGUGAAGAUGCAUUUAUAGCAACUUGAGUUUGUGAGAAUAAAUCAUAAAAGUACUGUUACUGUCCAUUUUAGUGUCAAUCUUUAUUCUCCUUCUGUUUCUAGUAGUGUGGAAAGUCUGAACUGACAACUAAAGAAAUUCCUAGGAACGUGACUUUGAUAAGCUGAGCUCUUCCUUCUCCUUACUCUUCUAUCCUGCUGCCUACUUAUUCUUCAUUUCUGCUUAGUUGA